AGGACGAACGCUGGCGGCGCGCUUAACACAUGCAAGUCGAGCGAGAACCAGGGCUUCGGCUCUGGGGACAGCGGCGAACGGGUGAGUAACACGUGGGUAAUCAACCCUCGACAUCGGGAUAGCCCGGGGAAAACCCGGAUUAAUACCGAAUGCUCCGUCUGGCCUUCGGGCCGGCCGGAAAAGGUAGCUUCGGCCUCCGGUCGGGGACGAGCCCGCGGCGGAUUAGCUUGUUGGUGGGGUAAAGGCCCACCAAGGCGACGAUCCGUAGCUGGUCUGAGAGGACGAUCAGCCACACUGGGACUGAGACACGGCCCAGACUCCUACGGGAGGCAGCAGUGGGGAAUCUUGCGCAAUGGGCGAAAGCCUGACGCAGCGACGCCGCGUGAGGGAAGAAGGCCUUGGGUUGUAGACCUCUUUCAGGAGGGACGAAGCCACUCGGGUUAAUAGCCAGAGGGUGACGGUACCUCCAGAAGAAGCCCGGCUAACUACGUGCCAGCAGCCCGGUA
RNAcentral lists this ribosomal RNA (506 nucleotides) under uncultured bacterium. RNAcentral's name for it is "SSU rRNA". It matches the Rfam family "Bacterial small subunit ribosomal RNA", at positions 26 to 522 of the family's 1533-position model. The record is from RNAcentral.